Molecule: ribosomal RNA, 468 nt
Filed under: uncultured bacterium
Lineage: Bacteria
Description: partial 16S ribosomal RNA
Rfam family: Bacterial small subunit ribosomal RNA
Source: RNAcentral
GACGAACGCUGGUGGCGGGCUUAACACAUGCAAGUCGAACGGAAAGGCCCUGCUUUUGUGGGGUUCUCGAGUGGCGAACGGGUGAGUAACACGUGAGUAACCUGCCCUUGACUUUGGGAUAACUUCAGGAAACUGGGGCUACUACCGGAUAGGAGCUCCUGCUGCAUGGUGGGGGUUGGAAAGUUUCGGCGGUUGGGGAUGGACUCGCGGCUGAUCAGCUUGUUGGUGGGGUAGUGGCUUACCAAGGCUUUGACGGGUAGCCGGCCUGAGAGGGUGACUGGCCACAUUGGGACUGAGAUACGGCCCAGACUCCUACGGGAGGCAGCAGUGGGGAAGAUUGCACAAUGGGCGGAAGCCGGAGGCAGAAACGCCGCGUGCGGGAUGACGGCCUGCGGGUUGUAAACCGCUUUCGCCUGUGACGAAGCGUGAGUGACGGUAAUGGGUAAAGAAGCACCGGCUAACUACGUG